Molecule: ribosomal RNA, 468 nt
Filed under: uncultured bacterium
Lineage: Bacteria
Description: partial 16S ribosomal RNA
Rfam family: Bacterial small subunit ribosomal RNA
Source: RNAcentral
GACGAACGCUGGCGGCGUGCUUAACACAUGCAAGUCGAACGGAAAGGCCCUGCUUUUGUGGGGUGCUCGAGUGGCGAACGGGUGAGUAACACGUGAGUAACCUGCCCUUGACUUUGGGAUAACUUCAGGAAACUGGGGCUAAUACCGGAUAGGAGCUCCUGCUGCAUGGUGGGGGUUGGAAAGUUUCGGCGGUUGGGGAUGGACUCGCGGCUUAUCAGCUUGUUGGUGGGGUAGUGGCUUACCAAGGCUUUGACGGGUAGCCGGCCUGAGAGGGUGACCGGCCACAUUGGGACUGAGAUACGGCCCAGACUGCUACGGGGGGCAGCAGUGGGGAAUAUUGCACAAUGGGCGGAAGCCUGAUGCAGCAACGCCGCGUGCGGGAUGACGGCCUGCGGGUUGUAAACCGCUUUCGCCUGUGACGAAGCGUGAGUGACGGUAAUUGGUAAAGAAGCACCGGCUAACUACGUG